Molecule: ribosomal RNA, 566 nt
Filed under: uncultured bacterium
Lineage: Bacteria
Description: bacterial SSU rRNA
Rfam family: Bacterial small subunit ribosomal RNA
Source: RNAcentral
GGGGAAUUGUUCGCUAUGGGCGCAAGCCUGACGACGCAACGCCGCGUGGAGGAUGAAGAUCUUCGGGUCGUAAACUCCUGUCGAGCGGGACGAACACCUUCGGGGCUAAUAUCCCCGAGGGCUGACGGUACCGCUAAAGGAAGCCCCGGCUAACUCCGUGCCAGCAGCCGCGGUAAUACGGGGGGGGCAAGCGUUGUUCGGAAUUACUGGGCGUAAAGGGCUCGUAGGCGGCCAACUAAGUCAGACGUGAAAUCCCCAGGCUCAACCUGGGAACUGCGUCUGAUACUGGUUGGCUUGAAUCCGGGAGAGGGAUGCAGAAUUCCAGGUGUAGCGGUGAAAUGCGUAGAUAUCUGGAGGAAUACCGGUGGCGAAGGCGGCAUCCUGGACCGGCAUUGACGCUGAGGAGCGAAAGCCAGGGGAGCAAACGGGAUUAGAUACCCCGGUAGUCCUGGCCCUAAACGAUGAAUGCUUGGUGUAACGGGUAUCGAUCCCUGUUGUGCCGAAGCUAACGCAUUAAGCAUUCCGCCUGGGGAGUACGGUCGCAAGGCUGAAACUCAAAGGAAUUG